Molecule: ribosomal RNA, 158 nt
Filed under: uncultured bacterium
Lineage: Bacteria
Description: partial 16S ribosomal RNA
Source: RNAcentral
UUCUGUUGUUACGUCACGGCUAGCAGGUAUUAACUACUAACCUUUUCCUCACAACUGGAAAGUGCUUUACAACCCGAAGGCCUUCUUCACACACGCGGCAUGGCUGCAUCAGGGUUUCCCCCAUUGGUGCAAUAUUCCCCACUGGCUGCCUCCCGUAC